Molecule: RNA transcript, 763 nt
Organism: Hyposmocoma kahamanoa
Lineage: Eukaryota; Metazoa; Arthropoda; Insecta; Lepidoptera; Cosmopterigidae
Exons: 6
Source: RefSeq, a predicted model, not a curated record
UCUAUAGAUAUACCUAGCAAGAUGCCGCUGGACUAUUUACCUAUGAAACGUAAGUUCUUCGGACAUUACAGCCUUGACUUUGGAGCCGGAGCAAUCAUUGUUACAGCUGUGUUAUAUGUUAUUGAAGCUGGAAUGGAAUACAGCUAUCACUAUUGUGGAAACUUUUUCACCCUAUGGGCCGAAGGCAGCAAUGAAAAUGUUGUAUUGCCUUAUAUAUUUUUGAUAUUUUUGGAAGUUCACGCCUUAAUCCUUUUGAUAACUGGCUUAGGAUUUGCAUGUGGGCUCUGUGUGGGGUCCAUUGAAUGUGCUCCAUUCUUUGUGGUGGCGCUAAUAACGGCACCUUUUAUAAUAACCCUCUAUUACGUAGGGAUGUUGUGUAUAAUUCUCGCUGGUAAACUUGAAUGCCCCUAUAUAACACCUAUUUACGGUGUCCAUCUAGUAUUAAUGAUCCUUGCUGCCAUAUUCUUUUUACACGCUGGUUGUUGUAUUAAUUCAUAUAAACCUGGAGCCCGCCCACCUACUUAUGCUUUGCAUAAAUGUUCAAAGAAAAAGAUUACUACUUGUUAAUUUAUAGUGAAUCUUUUUACACGCUGGUUGUUGUACUAAUUCAUAUAAACCUGGAGCCCGCCCACCUACUUAUGCUUUGCAUAAAUGUUCAAAGAAAAAGAUUACUACUUGUUAAUUUAUAGUGAACGAAGUUAUGUAAUGACGUGAACAUCCUAAUGUAGGAGACCCAGGACCACUGUUUCGAUGCACAUUGGUU